RNAcentral lists this microRNA precursor (61 nucleotides) under Capitella teleta. RNAcentral's name for it is "Cte-Mir-2-o17_pre stem-loop". Lineage: Eukaryota; Metazoa; Annelida; Polychaeta; Capitellidae. The record is from RNAcentral.
UGUUUGAAUUAGCUGUGAUGUGCUUUAGUUUGAAGUUCUUAUCACAGCUAUUUUGAUCAUU